UACAGAGGGUGCGAGCGUUAAUCGGAAUUACUGGGCGUAAAGCGUGCGUAGACGGUUAUUUAAGUCGGAUGUGAAAGCCCCGGGCUCAACCUGGGAAUUGCAUUCGAGACUGAAUAGCUAGGGUGCGGUAGAGGGAAGCGGAAUUUCCGGUGUAGCGGUGAAAUGCGUAGAUAUCGGAAGGAACAUCAGUGGCGAAAGCGGCUUCCUGGACCAGUACCGACGUUCAGGCACGAAAGCGUGGGGAGCAAAAGGG
Molecule: ribosomal RNA, 253 nt
Filed under: uncultured bacterium
Lineage: Bacteria
Description: partial 16S ribosomal RNA
Rfam family: Bacterial small subunit ribosomal RNA
Source: RNAcentral